This 485-nucleotide ribosomal RNA is filed under the name uncultured bacterium. RNAcentral describes it as "partial 16S ribosomal RNA". It matches the Rfam family "Bacterial small subunit ribosomal RNA", at positions 27 to 507 of the family's 1533-position model. The record is from RNAcentral.
GAUUGAACGCUGGCGGCAGGCCUAACACAUGCAAGUCGAGCGGAUGAAGGGAGCUUGCUCCUGGAUUCAGCGGCGGACGGGUGAGUAAUGCCUAGGAAUCUGCCCGGUAGUGGGGGAUAACGUCCGGAAACGGGCGCUAAUACCGCAUACGUCCUGAGGGAGAAAGUGGGGGAUCUUCGGACCUCACGCUAUCAGAUGAGCCUAGGUCGGAUUAGCUAGUUAGUGGGGUAAAGGCCUACCAAGGCGACGAUCCGUAACUGGUCUGAGAGGAUGAUCAGUCACACUGGAACUGAGACACGGUCCAGACUCCUACGGGAGGCAGCAGUGGGGAAUAUUGGACAAUGGGCGAAAGCCUGAUCCAGCCAUGCCGCGUGUGUGAAGAAGGUCUUCGGAUUGUAAAGCACUUUAAAUUGGGAGGAAGGGCAGUAAGUUAAUACCUUGCUGUUUUGACGUUACCAACAGAAUAAGCACCGGCUAACUUCGUG